UACGGAGGGUGCAAGCGUUGCUCGGAAUUACUGGGCGUAAAGCGCGUGUAGGCGGUCUCGUAUGUCUGGUGUGAAAUCCCCGGGCUCAACCCGGGAAGUGCACUGGAAACUGCGAGACUAGAGUCCCGGAGAGGAAGGUGGAAUUCCAGGUGUAGCGGUGAAAUGCGUAGAUAUCUGGAAGAACACCGGUGGCGAAGGCGGCCUUCUGGACGGUGACUGACGCUGAGACGCGAAAGCGUGGGGAGCAAACGGG
This 253-nucleotide ribosomal RNA is filed under the name uncultured bacterium. Its description in RNAcentral is "partial 16S ribosomal RNA". It matches the Rfam family "Bacterial small subunit ribosomal RNA", at positions 524 to 776 of the family's 1533-position model. The record is from RNAcentral.